Molecule: ribosomal RNA, 425 nt
Filed under: uncultured bacterium
Lineage: Bacteria
Description: partial 16S ribosomal RNA
Rfam family: Bacterial small subunit ribosomal RNA
Source: RNAcentral
GUGGGGAAUAUUGGACAAUGGGCGCAAGCCUGAUCCAGCCAUGCCGCGUGAGUGAUGAAGGCCUUAGGGUUGAAAAGCUCUUUCAGUGGGGACGAUAAUGACGGUACCCACAGAAGAAGCCCCGGCUAACUUCGUGCCAGCAGCCGCGGUAAUACGAAGGGGGCUAGCGUUGUUCGGAUUUACUGGGCGUAAAGCGCACGUAGGCGGAUCGUUAAGUCGGGGGUGAAAUCCUGGAGCUCAACUCCAGAACUGCCUUCGAUACUGGCGAUCUUGAGUCCGGAAGAGGUGAGUGGAACUCCUAGUGUAGAGGUGGAAUUCGUAGAUAUUAGGAAGAACACCAGUGGCGAAGGCGGCUCACUGGUCCGGUACUGACGCUGAGGUGCGAAAGCGUGGGGAGCAAACAGGAUUAGAUACCCUUGUAGUCC